RNAcentral lists this ribosomal RNA (468 nucleotides) under uncultured bacterium. RNAcentral's name for it is "partial 16S ribosomal RNA". It matches the Rfam family "Bacterial small subunit ribosomal RNA", at positions 28 to 507 of the family's 1533-position model. The record is from RNAcentral.
GACGAACGCUGGCGGCGUGCUUAACACAUGCAAGUCGAACGGAAAGGCCCUGCUUUUGUGGGGUGCUCGAGUGGCGAACGGGUGAGUAACACGUGAGUAACCUGCCCUUGACUUUGGGAUAACUUCAGGAAACUGGGGCUAAUACCGGAUAGGAGCUCCUGCUGCAUGGUGGGGGUUGGAAAGUUUCGGCGGUUGGGGAUGGACUCGCGGCUUAUCAGCUUGUUGGUGGGGUAGUGGCUUACCAAGGCUUUGACGGGUAGCCGGCCUGAGAGGGUGACCGGCCACAUUGGGACUGGGAUACGGCCCAGACUCCUACGGGAGGCAGAAGUGAGGAGUAUUGCACAAUGGGCGGAGGCCUAAUGCAGCAACGCCGCGUGCGGGAUGACGGCCUUCGGGUUGUAAACCGCUUUCGCCUGUGACGAGGCGUGAGUGACGGUAAUGGGUAGAGAAGCACCGGCUAACUACGUG